Nymphaea colorata (pocket water lily) is the source of this 852-nucleotide RNA transcript. It is a transcript of the gene named ethylene-responsive transcription factor ERF096-like, with no coding region annotated. Lineage: Eukaryota; Viridiplantae; Streptophyta; Magnoliopsida; Nymphaeales; Nymphaeaceae. The transcript is spliced from 2 exons. The record is from RefSeq and is a predicted model, not a curated record.
CAGCUAGCCACCUACGGCACCGGGCCCCGGCAACCAAAAGCCACCGCCGCCUCCACACUGUAGUUCUCCUUGAUUUGGACCGACUCGUGAAUCAACCACCAUGAGGGAAGAACUCCAGCUAGGUUGGGAAGUUUCAACUUGUGGUGGAAACCGCCAAGACGAUAAGUAUAUAUAGUAGCAGUGAAGAAGUUAUGAGCACGGCGCAGCCCAUCAUCGUUCGAGAGCUACGUGUACACCUGAGCAGGACGGGAGGCCGGAUGAAGGGAGAGACGCAGGAGGAGGAAGAGGAGGAAGAAGAGGAGCAGCAGCAGCAGGGGGAGGAGCAGGAAGUUCGAUACAGAGGCGUAAGGAAGAGGCCAUGGGGCAAAUACGCGGCCGAAAUCAGGGACCCGAACCGGCGAGGGACGAGGGUAUGGCUGGGGACCUUCAGCACUGCGGAGCAAGCUGCUCGAGCCUACGACAGGGCCGCAUUCCAGAUGAGGGGAUCCAUGGCCAUCCUCAACUUCCCUCAUGAGUAUAAUCUGCGCCCCGAGGGCGGCCACCACUACUCCCAUGUUCCUUCGGCGACAUCUUCUUCCUCGCUGGCACAGCCUUCUUCUUCUUCUCCUUCUAAUGCAUCGGUCUUGGAGUUGGAGUGCUUCGAUGACAAACUACUGGAAGAACUUCUGAUCAACUCGAGCGAAGUUACACGAAAGAAUCGCCAUCAUUGAAUCAGGUCGCAGUCCCGGCUACACUGCUUCCAGAACUCAUGCUUCUUUUGGUGCAUAUCUUAUGUCUUACCAUCGCCAACAAUAUCAUCAAGGGAGUCCCGUCCUAAGGAAGGAAUCCAAAAGAAGGAGGACCUCGCCAUAA